Molecule: ribosomal RNA, 253 nt
Filed under: uncultured bacterium
Lineage: Bacteria
Description: partial 16S ribosomal RNA
Rfam family: Bacterial small subunit ribosomal RNA
Source: RNAcentral
UACGAAGGGUGCAAGCGUUAAUCGGAAUCACUGGGCGUAAAGGGAGCGUAGGCGGGCUUCUAAGUUAGAUGUUUAAUCCCGGGGCCCAACCCCGGACAGGCACCUAAAACUGGAAGUCUUGAAUAGUGGAGAGGACGGCGGAAUUGGGGGUGUAGCGGUGGAAUGCGUAGAGAUCCCCAAGAACACCAGUUGCGAAGGCGGCCGUCUGGACACAUAUUGACGCUGAGGCUCGAAAGCAUGGGGAGCAAACAGG